This 970-nucleotide ribosomal RNA is filed under the name bacterium WP3ISO20. RNAcentral's name for it is "bacterial SSU rRNA". It matches the Rfam family "Bacterial small subunit ribosomal RNA", at positions 38 to 987 of the family's 1533-position model. The record is from RNAcentral.
GGCGGCAGGCCUAACACAUGCAAGUCGAGCGGAAACGAGUUAUCUGAACCUUCGGGGAACGAUAACGGCGUCGAGCGGCGGACGGGUGAGUAAUGCCUAGGAAAUUGCCUUGAUGUGGGGGAUAACCAUUGGAAACGAUGGCUAAUACCGCAUGAUGCCUACGGGCCAAAGAGGGGGACCUUCGGGCCUCUCGCGUCAAGAUAUGCCUAGGUGGGAUUAGCUAGUUGGUGAGGUAAUGGCUCACCAAGGCGACGAUCCCUAGCUGGUCUGAGAGGAUGAUCAGCCACACUGGAACUGAGACACGGUCCAGACUCCUACGGGAGGCAGCAGUGGGGAAUAUUGCACAAUGGGCGCAAGCCUGAUGCAGCCAUGCCGCGUGUAUGAAGAAGGCCUUCGGGUUGUAAAGUACUUUCAGCAGUGAGGAAGGGGGUGUCGUUAAUAGCGGCAUUUCUUGACGUUAGCUGCAGAAGAAGCACCGGCUAACUCCGUGCCAGCAGCCGCGGUAAUACGGAGGGUGCGAGCGUUAAUCGGAAUUACUGGGCGUAAAGCGCAUGCAGGUGGUUUGUUAAGUCAGAUGUGAAAGCCCGGGGCUCAACCUCGGAACUGCAUUUGAAACUGGCAAACUAGAGUACUGUAGAGGGGGGUAGAAUUUCAGGUGUAGCGGUGAAAUGCGUAGAGAUCUGAAGGAAUACCAGUGGCGAAGGCGGCCCCCUGGACAGAUACUGACACUCAGAUGCGAAAGCGUGGGGAGCAAACAGGAUUAGAUACCCUGGUAGUCCACGCCGUAAACGAUGUCUACUUGGAGGUUGUGGCCUUGAGCCGUGGCUUUCGGAGCUAACGCGUUAAGUAGACCGCCUGGGGAGUACGGUCGCAAGAUUAAAACUCAAAUGAAUUGACGGGGGCCCGCACAAGCGGUGGAGCAUGUGGUUUAAUUCGAUGCAACGCGAAGAACCUUACCUACUCUUGACAU